This 913-nucleotide ribosomal RNA is filed under the name uncultured marine archaeon. RNAcentral describes it as "bacterial SSU rRNA". It matches the Rfam family "Archaeal small subunit ribosomal RNA", at positions 1 to 922 of the family's 1478-position model. The record is from RNAcentral.
UCCGGUUGAUCCUGCCGGACCUGACUGCUAUCGGAUUGAUACUAAGCCAUGCGAGUCAUUGUAGCAAUACAAGGCAUACGGCUCAGUAACGCGUAGUCAACCUAACCUAUGGACGGGAAUAACCUCGGGAAACUGAGAAUAAUGCCCGAUAGAACAUUAUGCCUGGAAUGGUUUGUGUUCCAAAUGAUUUAUCGCCAUAGGAUGGGACUGCGGCCUAUCAGUUUGUUGGUGAGGUAAUGGCCCACCAAGACUAUUACAGGUACGGGCUCUGAGAGGAGUAGCCCGGAGAUGGGUACUGAGACACGGACCCAGGCCCUAUGGGGCGCAGCAGGCGAGAAAACUUUGCAAUGUGCGAAAGCACGACAAGGUUAAUCCGAGUGAUUUGUGCUAAACGAAUCUUUUGUUAGUCCUAGAAACACUAACGAAUAAGGGGUGGGCAAGUUCUGGUGUCAGCCGCCGCGGUAAAACCAGCACCUCAAGUGGUCAGGAUGAUUAUUGGGCCUAAAGCAUCCGUAGCCGGCUCUGUAAGUUUUCGGUUAAAUCUGUACGCUUAACGUACAGGCUGCCGGGAAUACUGCAAAGCUAGGGAGUGGGAGAGGUAGACGGUACUCGGUAGGAAGUGGUAAAAUGCUUUGAUCUAUCGAUGACCACCUGUGGCGAAGGCGGUCUACCAGAACACGUCCGACGGUGAGGGAUGAAAGCUGGGGGAGCAAACCGGAUUAGAUACCCGGGUAGUCCCAGCUGUAAACUAUGCAAACUCAGUGAUGCAUUGGCUUGUGGCCAAUGCAGUGCUGCAGGGAAGCCGUUAAGUUUGCCGCCUGGGAAGUACGUACGCAAGUAUGAAACUUAAAGGAAUUGGCGGGGGAGCACCACAAGGGGUGAAGCCUGCGGUUCAAUUGGAUUCAACGCCGGA